GGGUGAAAUCUGGUGCCGUUGGUUUAGGUAGUUGGGCGUUAACUUGAGAAGUCUUUAAGCUACUAAGGUCUAGAUUUAAAACAGGAUUAGAUACCCCGUUAUACUAGAUUGAAAAUAUACCACUUGAGUAGUAAACAGUUAUAUUCUCGAAACUUAAAGGAUUUGGCGGUAUCUUAGUCUCGUUAGAGGAAUCUGUUCUAUAAACGAUAAACCACGAAGUAUCUUACUUUUUCUUGUAUUUCAGUUUGUAUACCGCCAUUAUCAGAUAGUUUUUAUAAAAAUCUAUUAGAAUAGUAAAAAGCUAGUAUAUUAGGUCUAGGUGCAGCUAAUGAGGGAGUGGGUAAUGGAUUACAAUGUUAUGGGUAGAUUACGAAUUGACAAGUGAACAUUUGUUUUGAAGGUGGAUUUAAUAGUAAAAUUUAUUUAAUAAGUGAGUUUGAUAGGAGCUCUAAGAUAUGUA
This 460-nucleotide ribosomal RNA is filed under the name Plesionika kensleyi. RNAcentral's name for it is "12S ribosomal RNA". The record is from RNAcentral. Lineage: Eukaryota; Metazoa; Arthropoda; Malacostraca; Decapoda; Pandalidae.